This 200-nucleotide ribosomal RNA is filed under the name uncultured bacterium. RNAcentral's name for it is "partial 16S ribosomal RNA". It matches the Rfam family "Bacterial small subunit ribosomal RNA", at positions 28 to 228 of the family's 1533-position model. The record is from RNAcentral.
GAUGAACGCUAGCGGCAGGCCUAAUACAUGCAAGUCGAGGGGCAGCACGGUAGCAAUACUGGUGGCGACCGGCGCACGGGUGCGUAACACGUAUACAAUCUGCCUUUAACAGGGGGAUAGCCCGGAGAAAUCCGGAUUAAUACCCCAUAAUACUUGAAGUAGCAUUAUUUUAAGUUGAAAGCUCCGGCGGUUAAAGAUGA